AAACUAGGAUUAGAUACCCUACUAUUAAGAGAAAAAUAUUGUUAGUAUAUAAAUAUUAUGAAAACAAAAAAUUAUGGCGGUAUUUUAAGCUUUUCAGAGGAAUUUGCUCUAUAAUGGAUAAAACACCAAUAUCUUACUAAAAUUAGUUAAGCAGCUUGUAUACCACUAUUUAAGUAAUAAUUUAUUAUUAUUACUGGAAUCUAUUAUAAUAGAAAAAGUUAAGUCAAGGUGCAGCAUAAGUUUUAGAAUGAAGUGAAUUACAUUUCUUAAAAGAAAAUAAAAUGAAAAUAAGGUUUAGGAUUUGAAAGUAAAAUUUUAAUAAAAUGAAAAUUUGAAUUUAGCUCUAAAAUAUGUACACAUCGCCCGUCGCUCUCAUU
RNAcentral lists this ribosomal RNA (377 nucleotides) under Haemaphysalis humerosa. RNAcentral describes it as "partial small subunit ribosomal RNA". The record is from RNAcentral. Lineage: Eukaryota; Metazoa; Arthropoda; Arachnida; Ixodida; Ixodidae.